ACCACGACUCUCGACAAUGGAUAUCUCGGCUC
RNAcentral lists this ribosomal RNA (32 nucleotides) under Gnetum formosum. RNAcentral describes it as "partial 5.8S ribosomal RNA". The record is from RNAcentral. Lineage: Eukaryota; Viridiplantae; Streptophyta; Gnetopsida; Gnetales; Gnetaceae.